GACGAACGCUGGCGGCGUGCUUAACACAUGCAAGUCGAGCGGUAAGGCCCUUUCGGGGGUACGACGAGCGGCGAACGGGUGAGUAACACGUGGGUGACCUGCCCUUAGCUCUGGGAUAAGCCUGGGAAACGUAGGGUCUAAUACCGGAUAUGACCUCAUGACUCAUGUUGUGGGGUGGAAAGCCUUGUGCGGCUAGGGAUGGGCCCGCGGUCUAUCAGCUUGUUGGUGGGGUAAUUGCCUACCAAGGCGACGACGGGUAGCCGGCCUGAGAGGGCGACCGGCCACACUGGGACUGAGACACGGCCCAGACUCCUACGGGAGGCAGCAGUGGGGAAUCUUGCGCAAUGGGCGAAAGCCUGACGCAGCGACGCCGCGUGAGGGAUGACGGCCU
RNAcentral lists this ribosomal RNA (391 nucleotides) under uncultured bacterium. Its description in RNAcentral is "bacterial SSU rRNA". It matches the Rfam family "Bacterial small subunit ribosomal RNA", at positions 28 to 417 of the family's 1533-position model. The record is from RNAcentral.